ACGGAGGAUGCGAGCGUUAUCCGGAUUCAUUGGGUUUAAAGGGUGCGUAGGCGGACUAUUAAGUCAGUGGUGAAAUCCUGCAGCUUAACUGCAGAACUGCCAUUGAUACUGAUAGCCUUGAGUUUAAUUAAGGUAGGCGGAAUGUGUAAUGUAGCGGUGAAAUGCUUAGAUAUUACACAGAACACCGAUAGCGUAGGCAGCUCACUAAACUGUAACUGACGCUGAGGCACGAAAGCGUGGGGAUCGAACAG
Molecule: ribosomal RNA, 251 nt
Filed under: uncultured prokaryote
Description: partial 16S rRNA
Rfam family: Bacterial small subunit ribosomal RNA
Source: RNAcentral